RNAcentral lists this ribosomal RNA (672 nucleotides) under Penicillium sp. P5-3-2. Its description in RNAcentral is "SSU rRNA". It matches the Rfam family "Eukaryotic small subunit ribosomal RNA", at positions 229 to 907 of the family's 1831-position model. The record is from RNAcentral. Lineage: Eukaryota; Fungi; Ascomycota; Eurotiomycetes; Eurotiales; Aspergillaceae.
CCCUUCGGGGCUCCUUGGUGAAUCAUAAUAACUUAACGAAUCGCAUGGCCUUGCGCCGGCGAUGGUUCAUUCAAAUUUCUGCCCUAUCAACUUUCGAUGGUAGGAUAGUGGCCUACCAUGGUGGCAACGGGUAACGGGGAAUUAGGGUUCGAUUCCGGAGAGGGAGCCUGAGAAACGGCUACCACAUCCAAGGAAGGCAGCAGGCGCGCAAAUUACCCAAUCCCGAUACGGGGAGGUAGUGACAAUAAAUACUGAUACGGGGCUCUUUUGGGUCUCGUAAUUGGAAUGAGAACAAUUUAAAUCCCUUAACGAGGAACAAUUGGAGGGCAAGUCUGGUGCCAGCAGCCGCGGUAAUUCCAGCUCCAAUAGCGUAUAUUAAAGUUGUUGCAGUUAAAAAGCUCGUAGUUGAACCUUGGGCCUGGCUGGCCGGUCCGCCUCACCGCGAGUACUGGUCCGGCUGGGCCUUUCCUUCUGGGGAACCUCAUGGCCUUCACUGGCUGUGGGGGGAACCAGGACUUUUACUGUGAAAAAAUUAGAGUGUUCAAAGCAGGCCUUUGCUCGAAUACAUUAGCAUGGAAUAAUAGAAUAGGACGUGUGGUUCUAUUUUGUUGGUUUCUAGGACCGCCGUAAUGAUUAAUAGGGAUAGUCGGGGGCGUCAGUAUUCAGCUGUCA